AGGGGCGUAGCUCAGUUGGUAGAGCAGCGGAUUCCAAAUCCGCGGGCCGGGAGUUCGAGUCUCUCCGCCCCUG
RNAcentral lists this transfer RNA (73 nucleotides) under Polyangiaceae bacterium. RNAcentral's name for it is "tRNA-Trp". It matches the Rfam family "tRNA". Rfam says of the family: Transfer RNA (tRNA) molecules are approximately 80 nucleotides in length. Their secondary structure includes four short double-helical elements and three loops (D, anti-codon, and T loops). The record is from RNAcentral. Lineage: Bacteria; Pseudomonadati; Myxococcota; Polyangiales; Polyangiaceae. RNAcentral also lists the same sequence under 1 other name.